RNA transcript from Dermacentor andersoni, 1192 nucleotides. RefSeq lists it as uncharacterized. The record is from RefSeq and is a predicted model, not a curated record. Lineage: Eukaryota; Metazoa; Arthropoda; Arachnida; Ixodida; Ixodidae.
UGCACGCGCGGAGGCGCCCUGGAGCUGUAGCUAGGGGGUCACCGUGCAAAAUAAGUGAUUGCUAUCUUUAUUUCUCUAUGGCGUGAGUACCGGUGGCGCCUCCUGACGAUACCGGUAAGCCUAUCGCAAACCUGUGGGCGUAGGCCGGCUGCUUCUUUUUUUGACCGUACGCGUGGUUUGUUAGUGCUCAGCGGCCAAAUGAAGCGAUUCGAGACGUGGAAAGCCUGGCAGCCACGCAGAAUCUAACAUACUCUACGAAGCUUCCCACUUCUCAGCAGUGACGCAGUCUGUCUCGGUUGCCAGCGGGUGGUAACGCGGAGGAUCACACUAUUUUCUCGCUCAGUCGAUCCGUGCUAACCGUCAUUGAACACAAAGGUUCGAGAGCCAAGUCGAACAAGAGUGCCCCUACCUUGGCGCCGGUCGUCGACUCGGGCUUCCGCAAAUGCCAAGGCUGCGUACGCUCAGCCUGCCAACGGACGGGACGCUCGCCGGGGGAGUCCGGAAAAGCCUUGAGAAUGGACCUUCGCUGCAAGGCACGGCUGCUGCACACCCGGGCUACGCCUGCGACCAAACUGUUGAAGGCUCCCCUACCCGCGAGGUGCAAGUCAAAUCAGAGAGGCUGCCACCACAGUCUGAGAGGGAGCGAGGAGGCAUGUAUGAAUGGCCCACUUCGGAAUGAUUGUCCUUGCAGACACUCGCCAGACAGCGCCAUCGCGGAAACGUAACCGCUUCUGCGUUACUCGUACCUUGCCUCCCGCCAACACUGUAGGCGGCUCUGAGCAGGGGAAAAGCGAAGAAACUAACCCCUCCCUGAAAACGUAUCAGGGAGGGGUAUUGGAGACUCCGUACAAGAUAGAAGAAGAGAAUUUCAAGCGGACGCAAGGCAAGACUGGUGGGCUCCGCAUCCACGACCUCGACCCACAGCGUGAGGCGGGCAGUGUCGUGUACCGCCUGUGCGACGGCAGCAGUUGCCCUUCCGCAUUUACGUUCAGGACGUUUACGUGCACGGAUGCGUAGACCACCGCCGUUCCUCUACGUGGCGGCGGAUGUGGAGCUUCCGGCUAGACCAUUGCAGUGACGAGUGUAAACGGCAUGCUCGAAGCUGCAGGGGCAAAAGAUAUGGACUCCCGCCUUUUCCUGCGCCUAGACCAGCAGGUCCGAUGAGCUCUAUCAAUAAAGGCCAGACGAACGG